RNAcentral lists this ribosomal RNA (158 nucleotides) under Fusarium solani. Its description in RNAcentral is "5.8S ribosomal RNA". It matches the Rfam family "5.8S ribosomal RNA". Rfam says of the family: 5.8S ribosomal RNA (5.8S rRNA) is a component of the large subunit of the eukaryotic ribosome. It is transcribed by RNA polymerase I as part of the 45S precursor that also contains 18S and 28S rRNA. Functionally, it is thought that 5.8S rRNA may be involved in ribosome translocation. The record is from RNAcentral. Lineage: Eukaryota; Fungi; Ascomycota; Sordariomycetes; Hypocreales; Nectriaceae.
AAACUUACAACAACGGAUCUCUUGGCUCUGGCAUCGAUGAAGAACGCAGCGAAAUGCGAUAAGUAAUGUGAAUUGCAGAAUUCAGUGAAUCAUCGAAUCUUUGAACGCACAUUGCGCCCGCCAGUAUUCUGGCGGGCAUGCCUGUUCGAGCGUCAUUA